Marmota monax (woodchuck) is the source of this 4730-nucleotide RNA transcript. It is a transcript of the gene named cAMP responsive element binding protein 3 like 4, with no coding region annotated. The transcript is spliced from 11 exons. Lineage: Eukaryota; Metazoa; Chordata; Mammalia; Rodentia; Sciuridae. The record is from RefSeq and is a predicted model, not a curated record.
CUCCGGUCUUCAGCUUCCCACUGGGACUCGGCGUGGGCAGAGCGCCGAGGAGAGGCCUGCUCCAGGUUUGGGGCGUGACUGUUGGCACUUUUGUUUUUGCGAUCCUGCGUUGGUCUCCCUCCAAUAAAAGCGAUGGCUGGGGAACAGGCACUCAAGGAUGUCGUGCUCCGGUCACCGCCGUCUCAGUCUUCCCCGAGGAGACCUCAAACUCUCAGAAAGAGCUGCCGCUGGGAGACCCUGAGGCACCGAAGGCGCGGCUACCUGUUUUCCUUCAACCCCGUGUGCGCACGUUCGGCGACCCACACCCCAGUUUCCAGAUACAGCGCCCCCAGCCUGGCUCCGUGCAAGAAGCAUGGAGCUAGGAUCCCCUGACCUGCUAGACGUGUUGCUGGAGCCCCCAGAAGAUAUCUUCUCAACAGGAUCCUUACUGGAACUGGGAUUCAACUGUUCCCCUCCAGAGGUUCCAGUGACUAGGCUACAAGAACAGGCGCUACAUGGCUGGGAUUCUAGUGGGGGCCAUGGCUGUGGACUUCAAGAGAGUGAAUCUGAAGAUUUCCUGAAGCUUUUCAUUGAUCCCAAUGAGGUGUAUUGUUCAGAAGCAUCUCCUGGCAGUGACAGUGGCAACUCUGAGGAUCCUGGCCUCUCAGACAGUCCCCCUGCCCUGCAGGCACCCAGCUCUCCUGCCCUCUAUGAGGUUGUCUAUGAGGCAGAGGCCCUGCAGAGGAUGCAGGGGGAAGCCAGGCCAACCUUAGGACUCAUCUCCAUUCAGCUAGAUCAGUGGAGCCCACAAUUCAUGGUGCCAGAUGCCUGCAUGGUCAGUGAACUGACCUUUGAUGCUCAUGCACACAUCCUGCCCAGAAGCACUGCAGCCCCAGUGCCUCCUUCCACACUUCUGCCCUGUCAAACUCUGUUCCUGACAGAUGAGGAGAAGCGUCUGCUGGGGCAGGAAGGGGUUUCUCUGCCCUCUCACCUGCCCCUCACCAAGGCAGAGGAGAGAAUCCUCAAGAAGGUCAGGAGGAAAAUCCGUAACAAGCAGUCAGCUCAGGACAGUCGGCGACGGAAGAAAGAAUACAUCGAUGGGCUGGAGAACAGGGUGGCAGCCUGUUCUGCACAGAACCAGGAGCUACAGAAGAAAGUCCAGGAGCUGGAGAGACACAACCUCUCCUUGGUGGCUCAGCUCCGUCAGCUCCAGACGCUCAUUGCUCAAACCUCAAACAAAGCUGCCCAGACAAGCACUUGCGUUCUGAUCCUUCUUUUUUCUUUGGUUCUCAUCAUCCUGCCCAGCUUCAGUCCCUUUCAGGGUCUACCAGAAGCGGGGCCUGAGGACUACCAGCCUCGUGGAGGUGAGAAGCUCCCUGUGAUUUCCAGAAAUAUCUUGACCCAUGUGGAUAUGACAGAAAGUCGAGAGACUCCAGUGGAAGAGUCCACAAUGGGAGAGUCACUUAGAGCCCAGAUUGCAAACACGUCGACCAGAACACUGAUAGAGAAGAGGGUUGUGGAGACUGGGUCUGGUGGGCAUGUCAGAACCGUGCUGCAUGCAGAUGAGAUGUGAGCUGGAAGGUUCCUGGCCCACUCCCCUUUACCAUAAGGAACCCAGGGUUCCCCUAUAGCUCUGCUUCCCCCUGGUCUUCCCACUCAGGUGUCUUUGCUCUUGGGGGUCUGAAUCACCUCAGGACAACAUAGGAGAUAUCUGUAUCCUGAGGCCCAGUUAGCCUGUGUAAAAAGAGUACCUCAAAUACUUUUGUUAUGUAUCUGUGAUUUUAUUUCUUCUUUGGGGAUAGGGUUGAGGGAAACAAAAGUUUUGACUAAGAAAUAAAUUUUCUAGUUAAAAUUAUAUCCCAGAAGUUUUAAAUAAGUAGUAAAAGGGGGGAAGGUAGGUACUUGGGAGAUUGCCACCCCCUUUUCUCUCUGCUCCCAUGAUUUCCUGUCCCAAAACAAAUUACUAUAGGGAGAAAGAAACCAAAUUACUCUUUUUUAUUGUGCUUAUUAAUGACAUGGAGAGGAAGAUGGGGAGAAGGGGUUACCACCACAAGAUUCCUAAGAACCAAAGGCGCAAAUCAGUCCAUUUCACUUUCUCUGAGAUAUGGUCUGUAAAAUCCAGGAUAAAAGGGUGGAAUGUAGCUAUAUGGACUCAAUUUGCUUCCGGACCUUUUCCAGAGCCUUUCUGUCCAGUUGUCGCUGACGGAUGAUGACAAGGCAUGCGAAGACCAAAGCCACACCCACCACAGCCCCUUCAAAUUUCCAGAAUAAGUGUUGUUCCAUCAGAGCUGAGCGGCAGCUGAGGAUAGGAAGGAACAGUUAUUCCCAGGGAAGGCCAGACAGCUUCUCCUUACCACUUCCCUUCUACUUCAGCCCCAUCAAGGAGGUAACAGCCAAAAGAAAAAGAGGAAAACAGAGUCAGCCUUAUAAAGUGUUUACAUCAUCUGGUAAGAUAACAAAGAUAACAUUAGCUGAUGUUAUUGAAGAGAAAAUAUGGCCAAUAACAGGGCUGAGAAGUAAAACCAGGACUUGGGUUUAAGUAAUUUAGCUCCAAAUUCCCUCUUUCCAACAUGUCAUGCUAUCCAGGAUGAAGUCACAGGAGGAAAGGAGAUAAUUAGUCUACAAGAAAAGAAAAGCCCUUACCUUUUGAACUCAUUUCUCUUAGAGGAGCUGCAUGUAAUUUUCUCAACAUAACCUGUGGAACCACACUCAGGGAUGGUUUUCUGCCGGGAGAAAAGAACCAAAGCAUGUGUUAGGAAGAGGCAGCAGGAGAAACAGAGAGGUUGCCAUUCAAAAGGGCAAGUGCCCAAAUGCCAAUGGUCAGAGCUGGCCAGAAAACAGAGCUAACAAAGAGCUCUGAUGUGCAUGCUGAAGGUGGUGGUUGCAUGAUUAGAAAUGUGUGUUGGAAAAAACACUUCAGGGUAAGAGUGUAGAAGGACAUAAGGACAGAUUCCAGAGCAUAGUGUAUUAAAAGUGAACAGAACCACAGGGCAUGGAGGUGCAUGCCUGUAAUUCCAGCAACUUGGGAGCCUGAGGCAGGAAGAGCUCAAGUUCCAGCCCAGCCUGGCCAACUUAAACCUUGUCUCAAAAUAAUAAAAAAAGGUCUGGGGAUGAGGCUAGAUGAUAGAGAGCUAGAUGGUAGGAUUGGGUUCAAUCCCCAAUACAGCAAGACAAAAAACAAAAGCAGAACAAAACCUGGUUAUCAGCUGAACGCUGUUAUUAACUUGGAAAGAGAGGAACAUGUUUUCAGGGGGAAGACAAGUUCAGAUUUGGACGUAUACUGACACUGCAAGGAGAAAGAAAAGAGGAUGCAAAGGUAUGCUUAAUGAGACUUGGGGACUGGCUAGAUGUUGGGGGAAAACGGGGGAGGGGAGGGAUGCUCACAGCCUGAAAACUGGAACACGGAGUACACUCUUCUGCGACCACGAACUCUUCUCCCAGCCAGCACGGCAAAGUCGAGGUGCUCACUAAAAGGGGAAAGAAAUGCCGGCCCAGACCACUCAGAAAACGUUUGCCCCUGAAGCUCUACGCACCCAGAUCCCAGGCCAGCGCUGGCCUCGUCCCGUGCGGUGCCACCCUUUUCCGUCCGAGCUCCGGGUGUGUAGGGAAGACAUGCAAAACAAUAAACCACGGGGGCGUGGGGUCGGGCAGCCACCCACCUGACUGCUUCUCCUCCCGCACGGAAGCCUCUGCUCGGCUGUAGCAGGUGGGCGAAGGGGCAAAAAUUAGAAUCCGGAAAACAGGCUCCCCUGCCGCAGCGGUCCGUGACCAGGCAUCCCCCUCCCCAGGUGGGGACGGCUCUCCUCCGGCCCUGCCGGCCUCCCUCGGCCCCCGCCUCCUUACCAGAGCUCUACGGUGAAAGCGCAGAAGAGCCAGCAGAGGUGGAGGCCCUGGGGGAGGCCGCGCCUCCCGGUGCCCGCAGGCAUGGGCGGUCAGGGUCGCACCUGUCGGGACACAGGGACCUGCUAGUUGGGCCGCGAGCCAGUCGGAAAGCAGAGGCGCUCGCCCCGCAGCGCUCCGGGCGAUUCCGGCUCAGGAAGGUGAAACGGCCCGUUGCCCAUCAGGGCCAAAGCUCUGCCGGGACGACCCCACGGUCGCGGCGGGAAAAGCGCCUACGAAUCCGCUGUCAAGGAAGCCGGGCCCCUCGCCGGGGCGCGCGGCGCGGGAGGAAGGCCGGCUGCGGCGCCGGGGCCCAGAGCCGCUCACCUCUGCCCCCGCCCCGCGGGCGGCCAUCCCGCCCGCGGAGGAUGCUGGGGCGUCGCCCGCUGGGACCUGUAGUCCGCCGCGGGGGUGUCCGGGCGGUGCGGAGGGGCGGGUCUCACUGCGCCUGCGCGGCAGGACGCGGCCGAUUGGCUGGGCCGUGAGGCCUGGCGGUCCCGGCAGUGCGGGAGCCGUGGGGCGGUAGCGGUGGCUGGGUCCGUGUCGUUUCUCGGUUUACCGCUUCCUGGGUCGUCGCCUUUCUCCCGUUCUGAGCUAGGUGGACCGUGUCACCCCCUCCGGUGUUCAUUGCUAAACCACUUCGCAGAGCUUUUCAGCUGGUCUCCACUCUCCCUAGCGCCUACAUAAGGGAAUACUUACUAACCCGGUGCGAAGACCGAGAUUGGGAGUUCCCAGAAGUGCUGAGACUAGGUUCAGGAUCUUGUCAACUGUGUGACCUUAGGACAGUGGCUCUCAGUGUUCUGUGUGAAACGGAAUGCUAAUGUGCAUUGCUGCUUUUUGCUAGAUGCUAAUGAAAUGUAUAUGAAAACAUU